UUACCAUCUUCAAUUGUACAGAUUUUAUUCAUAAUCACGAACAUCAAAACAAAAAAUAACAAAAAAUAAAUAAAUAAAUAAAUAAAAAUGGAAACUACUGUAAAGCAGCAAGAGAGGUGGGAAUCGGUGCAUCUCUGCAGGUGUAGGAUUUGUGAUGUUUGUCGUGCGGUAGGAAGUGGAACUUGGCCGUUGCAGUCUCUUCUCUCUACUGAUCUCAUGCUCAGGGCUUGAGAUCCACAUUGGAUCAUGGUUACUAGUUCCCUGUCAUGUGCGGUAAAUCAACAAACAUCAACAUACAACAACACAGAGACACAGAGACACACAGAAACUCACAGACAGACAGACAGACGGAUGACAAUCCUCACAAGACACUGAUUCUCACUCACUCCAUUCUACUUCCGAUUCCCCAACAGCAAGUGGCUUCAGUGACGAUCCGAGCAGUUGCAUAACACACGCAUGUUCAGUUACCCAUUUGUUGCGUCUGUUUUUUGUGUAGGAAAAA
RNAcentral lists this long non-coding RNA (502 nucleotides) under Physcomitrium patens. Its description in RNAcentral is "long non-coding RNA (PPAT_LNC002051)". The record is from RNAcentral. Lineage: Eukaryota; Viridiplantae; Streptophyta; Bryopsida; Funariales; Funariaceae.